This 340-nucleotide long non-coding RNA is filed under the name Elaeis guineensis (African oil palm). RNAcentral's name for it is "long non-coding RNA (EGUI_LNC071754)". Lineage: Eukaryota; Viridiplantae; Streptophyta; Magnoliopsida; Arecales; Arecaceae. The record is from RNAcentral.
UCCUAAAUUUCUUUACUUUCUUGCAUUCUUGCAUCUUAUUGCUACACUUUGCUUAAAUCACUCACUACAUAUAACUUGCUUAAUAUUACUUAAUCCUCGUGGUUCUAAAUUAACUUUAAAAUUUUAAAAAUCCAAUUCACCCUUCCUCUUGGGUUGCAUGGCUGGACAACAUUUGAUCUUAAUCUUUUCUAGUCUGAUAGUUGCAGAAUGUGUUCUUCAGGUCGCUCGCAGCCACACGGACUCGUAUGGCCUCUACAGGAAGAUCCACGUGAAGACAGACGUAGAUCAGGGACUUGGAGGUGCUAGCCUGCAAGCAACUUCGACAGUUGAUUUGUUCCUC